GUCCACGCCGUAAACGAUGAAUGCUAGCCGUCGGUGAGCUUGCUCUUCGGUGGCGCAGCCAACGCAAUAAGCAUUCCGCCUGGGGAGUACGAUCGCAAGAUUAAAACUCAAAGGAAUUGACGGGGGCCCGCACAAGCGGUGGAGCAUGUGGUUCAAUUCGAAGCAACGCGCAGAACCUUACCAGGCCUUGACAUCCCGGUCGCGGCCCCCUUGAAAGAGGGGCCUUCAGUUCGGCUGUACCGGUGACAGGUGCUGCAUGGCUGUCGU
Molecule: ribosomal RNA, 267 nt
Filed under: uncultured bacterium
Lineage: Bacteria
Description: partial 16S ribosomal RNA
Rfam family: Bacterial small subunit ribosomal RNA
Source: RNAcentral